RNAcentral lists this ribosomal RNA (460 nucleotides) under uncultured bacterium. Its description in RNAcentral is "partial 16S ribosomal RNA". It matches the Rfam family "Bacterial small subunit ribosomal RNA", at positions 338 to 795 of the family's 1533-position model. The record is from RNAcentral.
CCUACGGGAGGCAGCAGUGAGGAAUAUUGGUCAAUGGGCGUAAGCCUGAACCAGCCAAGUCGCGUGAGGGAUGAAGGUUCUAUGGAUCGUAAACCUCUUUUAUAAGGGAAUAAAGUGUGGGACGUGUCCUGUUUUGUAUGUACCUUAUGAAUAAGGAUCGGCUAACUCCGUGCCAGCAGCCGCGGUAAUACGGAGGAUCCGAGCGUUAUCCGGAUUUAUUGGGUUUAAAGGGUGCGUAGGCGGCCUUUUAAGUCAGCGGUGAAAGUCUGUGGCUCAACCAUAGAAUUGCCGUUGAAACUGGACGCCUUGAGUUCACAACAGGCAGGCGGAAUUCGUGGUGUAGCGGUGAAAUGCAUAGAUAUCACGAGGAACCCCGAUUGCGAAGGCAGCCUGCCGGGGUGCGACUGACGCUGAGGCUCGAAGGUGCGGGUAUCAAACAGGAUUAGAUACCCUUGUAGUC